GAGAGAGUGUUGGAGCAGCAUGAAGAUCAGGAAGAAAAGGAUGGAGUGCGCUGCCAUGGCAGCGAUUGAGCGGCGAUGGGCGGCGGAACAGAGCUUCAGAGAUAGUGUCUUCGGCCAUUAGGUACUUGAGACAAGGCUUAUGCAGGCCCGGUUUUGCUGGAGAAAAGGAUUGGUGAGGGCGAGCGCGGGUCUGGUCGCAUCAAGCGGCGGAUUGGGGGCGGCGACUCGGC
This 230-nucleotide long non-coding RNA is filed under the name Setaria italica (foxtail millet). RNAcentral describes it as "long non-coding RNA (SITA_LNC005868)". The record is from RNAcentral. Lineage: Eukaryota; Viridiplantae; Streptophyta; Magnoliopsida; Poales; Poaceae.